GACGAACGCUGGCGGCGUGCCUAAUACAUGCAAGUCGAACGCUGAAGGAGGAGCUUGCUUCUCUGGAUGAGUUGCGAACGGGUGAGUAACGCGUAGGUAACCUGCCUGGUAGCGGGGGAUAACUAUUGGAAACGAUAGCUAAUACCGCAUAAGAGUAGAUGUUGCAUGACAUUUGCUUAAAAGGUGCAAUUGCAUCACUACCAGAUGGACCUGCGUUGUAUUAGCUAGUUGGUGGGGUAAAGGCUCACCAAGGCGACGAUACAUAGCCGACCUGAGAGGGGGAUCGGCCACCCUGGGACUGGGACACGGCCCAGGAUCCUACGGGAGGCAGCAGUAGGGAAUCUUCGGCAAUGGACGGAAGGCUGACCGAGCAACGCCGCGUGAGGGAAGAAGGGUUUCGGAUCGGAAAGAUCGGUUGUAAGAGAAGAACGAGUGUGGGAGUGGAAAGUUCACACUGUGACGGUAUCUAACCAGAAAGGGACGGCUAACUACGUG
RNAcentral lists this ribosomal RNA (495 nucleotides) under uncultured bacterium. RNAcentral's name for it is "partial 16S ribosomal RNA". It matches the Rfam family "Bacterial small subunit ribosomal RNA", at positions 28 to 507 of the family's 1533-position model. The record is from RNAcentral.